Molecule: long non-coding RNA, 912 nt
Organism: Pygocentrus nattereri (red-bellied piranha)
Lineage: Eukaryota; Metazoa; Chordata; Actinopteri; Characiformes; Serrasalmidae
Exons: 5
Source: RefSeq, a predicted model, not a curated record
ACGGCACGACGUCCUGUAUCUCAUGGGCUUAGAAGAAUGUGUUCCUGAGGGAAGCACGUCAACAUAAAUUGUUUCAGUCUGAGAGUAAAAGCUUUCUCGAAAGAUCAUUUGGGUCUUAUUACGUCUACCUGUGGUUGUACUUGACAUGGAUUUCGUCAACCUCUUUGCUGUCCUUCUAUUCUGCACUUCUCAUCAGAUACCAGUUUGGCAAGGAUAAAUAGUACACGGUGCAGCUGGAAAAGGCAAGGCUGUCAGCUUUGCAGGAAUGUGUGAUGGUGAGCACUUUGAUAUGUCAUCAGCGUUUUCAACACUCAGCAUUGAAGAGGACCCUUGCCAGUCCACAGCAAACGCCUGACUGAGAAGUUGCUUGCUUGUCUUCAAGCAGAAAUUAUGACAGAAACUGUUUAAAGUUCCCAUUUUCUGAACAUCAUACCCUUGAUUGUAUUGGACUCUAUCCCACCGCUCUGCAUUCAUGUCUGAACCCAACGUCUUGGACACCAGUCUUGUCAAGAGUAAUUAGAGAGACGAUGGUGCCAGCCCACAGUGAACAAACACCUGAUGGGCAACAUGUGAAUCCUCAAGCAGAACUGGUGGCAAUACAUGUUUGAAGUUCCAGUUUCUUGAACAUCAUGUCCAUGUGAGAGUCUAUCCCAUGUUGAACACCCUCUUCAGUCAAGUCUGGACUCAGUGACGCAUUACUUUUGAUCAACCAGGGCAAGUGACUGUUUUUCCAUGAGGUUUUUUCAUUCCACCAUGGAUUAACCUAUAUAUGGACGUAUGCUGUUUUUUCAAGAACUCAACACUAAUUUGUGAGUGUACUGGGAGUUAUCAGUUUAAUUUGAUUGUCAUAGAGAAUCUGUAAAUGUAAAAACAGUUUCUUAAUAUUUGCCUGUAGUAGUCUGUACAUUUGUU